RNAcentral lists this long non-coding RNA (413 nucleotides) under Elaeis guineensis (African oil palm). RNAcentral describes it as "long non-coding RNA (EGUI_LNC016674)". The record is from RNAcentral. Lineage: Eukaryota; Viridiplantae; Streptophyta; Magnoliopsida; Arecales; Arecaceae.
UAGUUUGCCAAGUCAAAAAGCAAUCUCUAUGAUUGGUGCUCCAAAAGAGGGGAAAAAAAACAAUACGUCCAUGUAUAACUCAAAAGAUGAUAUAAGCCACCAAUUAAGUGAUGCAAAAUUUUCUGAAGUAGACUUGUUCUUGUAAAUCAUUAUCAGAGUGCUCCUCCAAUCAAUUGGCCUCUCUUAUUUUACAUUGUAUUAUUUUAAAAUAAUUAUCCACCUCUCUCAUAAAUCCUUUCACUAUGCAAACUUGGCUUUGUUCUCUUUGUGCCCUAAAUAAUAUUAAUUCUACAAGCAUAUUGUUCUUUCUUAUCCACGCACUAUCAUCCAAGCAGAAAGUCAACCCUUAUCUUAGAUUAGAUUAUGACAAUUUUCCAAGCACCAUCAUCUAAGCAGAAGGUCAACCCUUAUCA